AUGAACGCUGGCGGCGUGCCUAAUACCUGCCAGUCGAGCGCACAGACGAGGAGCUUGCUCCUCUGACGUUAGCGGCGGACGGGUGAGUAACACGUGGAUAACCUACCUAUAAGACUGGGAUAACUUCGGGAAACCGGAGCUAAUACCGGAUAAUAUAUUGAACCGCAUGGUUCAAUAGUGAAAGACGGUUUUGCUGUCACUUAUAGAUGGAUCCGCGCCGCAUUAGCUAGUUGGUAAGGUAACGGCUUACCAAGGCAACGAUGCGUAGCCGACCUGAGAGGGUGAUCGGCCACACUGGAACUGAGACACGGUCCAGACUCCUACGGGAGGCAGCAGUAGGGAAUCUUCCGCAAUGGGCGAAAGCCUGACGGAGCAACGCCGCGUGAGUGAUGAAGGUCUUCGGAUCGUAAAACUCUGUUAUUAGGGAAGAACAAAUGUGUAAGUAACUAUGCACGUCUUGACGGUACCUAAUCAGAAAGCCACGGCUAACUACGUG
This 496-nucleotide ribosomal RNA is filed under the name uncultured bacterium. RNAcentral describes it as "partial 16S ribosomal RNA". It matches the Rfam family "Bacterial small subunit ribosomal RNA", at positions 29 to 507 of the family's 1533-position model. The record is from RNAcentral.